This 2546-nucleotide long non-coding RNA is filed under the name Gossypium barbadense (sea-island cotton). RNAcentral's name for it is "long non-coding RNA (GBAR_LNC009921)". Lineage: Eukaryota; Viridiplantae; Streptophyta; Magnoliopsida; Malvales; Malvaceae. The record is from RNAcentral.
UCACAUCUUUACCACAUUCAUACUAUAAUCAUUAUAAACUCAUCACAUAAUACCAUAGCACACGCAUGCAUAAUUAAAAUAGAUUUACAACCCCAUAAUCAAAAUAGGCCAACACAUAUGGUUAAAGCCAUAUCACAUACUCUAAUAUUUAAACUCCUAUACAUGCCAUAGGCUCAAAGUACUUGAAAUCACUACACCAAUAGCGUUAGCUUGACAGUGUGAUAAUAUCCCUGACGGCCUCCAACCCGAGCUAACUUGGAAACUCUAGAAAACAUGGGAAAGAAGAGGGGGGUAAGCUUUCGCUUAGUCAGUUCAUAUGAAAACAAUAAGCACUCAUUAACUUGUUUUAUCAAUGUUUACAACAUAUUCUCAAGUUCACUACAAGCUGUCUUUCUGAGCAACGGUCACUAAAUUAUUUAUAUCUAGAGCUACGAAACUCCGAAUUAAGUUCUGUUAAUUUUACCUGAAACUAGACUUAUUUUCCUUUCUUCCAUAAAAUUUUCAGAAUUUUUGGUUAAGCCGAAUAGUACAAUUUAUUCCUCAAAGUUACCCCUGAUUCACUGUCUGACAGUUCCGACCCUUCUGUACUAAAGUUCAAUUAUCUUAUAGUACAAGACUCGAAUAAUGUUCUCGUCUAUUUCUCUUGAAACUAGACUCAUAUGUCUACUUAUUAAUUUUUUCUAGAAUUUUUGGUUGGGCCAAUUAGUACAGUUUAUUAGUUAAAGUCUCCCCUGUUUCAGGGUAUGACCACUCUGACCCCUAUGCACUACAAACCGAAUUUCUCCCUAUACAAAAUUCCAACGAUCAUGGCGUUUAUUUCCCCUAAAAACAGACUCAAUAAGGAAUCCAUGAAUGUAAGGUAUGACUCUUAAUAAUUUUUUCACAAUUUUUGGUGAAUUUAUAAAGUCAGAAUAGGGGAUCUCAAAUUCAUUCAGACCCUGUUUCACAAGAAUUCAAAUAUCACACAAUAUGGAAUUCUUUUUCUUCCCCUGUUUCUUUCAUGUGAAAAUAGACUCAUUAAGCUUUAAUCCCAUAUUUUAUUCUGCCUCUGACUCAUUUUCCACUAUUUUUAGUGUAUUUUCAAAGUUACACUACUGCAGUAACUCAAAUCUGUCAAGGCUAAAUUACUCAUUCAUGAUCAUUGUUCACAAAAUUAAUACAACAUCGUUUGUAUAAUCAUCACCGAGACAUUCAUAUCACAUUUUCAUUUAUCAUCUUACCAUAUUGUUGUUAUGUCGAGUUUUCAACCCGAGGGUUAAGUACAUACCUGUUCAAAGUAUCCAUUUCACAACAUUUACCAAUACGUCCCUUUCAUCUUAAGUAUUCCUCCAUUUGAGUAGAAUUUUACCCGUUGAACACAUCGGAAUAUAAUUCGGAUACAUGGAAAGUUUGCACAUAAGUGCCACAUAUGUAGCCAAGCUACCAUGUAACCCGCCCAUAAGUGAACUCGGACUCAACUCAACGAGCUCGGGCGUUCGCAUCCAUAAGUGAACUCGGACUCAACUCAACGAGCUCGGAUGCCUAGUUACAUCUCAUGAACUCGAACUCAACUCAACUAGUUCGAACAUUCGCAUCCAUAAGUGAACUCGGACUCAACUCAACGAGUUCGGAUGCUCAACCAUCCUAGUGACAUGUCACUUGUAUCCUAAUCUAUUCCUAAGGUUCAAACGGGAUUUUCCUCGAACACAUAUCCUUGCCAUCUUCCGUAAAAUACCGAAACCAAUACUCGGUAGCACUUUAUAUUUAACAGAUAAUACACAUAACUUGCAUUUUAUUCGAAAAUAACCACAAAGCAUAUAUUUCAUGAUAAAAAUCAGCAUAUCAUAUAUUUAACAUCAAUAACUUAAAAAUAACAAUUAUGCUACAUUAUUUACACAUGAACUUACCUCGAUACCACAAAGGUGAAAAAAAAGACGUAAUUAUCCCUUAAUCGAUUUCUUUCCGUUCUAGGUCCAAAUAUCGAUUUUCAUCAUCUAAAAUAUCACAUUCAACUUAUUAAAACAAUGUACUGAUCAAAUUAGUCCAUUGACACACUUGGGCAAUUUUUACAAUUUUGCCCCUAUAUUUUGCCAAAAUUACCAAAUUACCCCUAGGCUCGUAAAAUAAUUUUUAUCACAUUUCUUUACUCCUUGAGUCUAGAUGAACCAUUUUCAUAAUUAUAACAACUCAUAAUUUCAACUAUUUCACACAUUUACAACUCAUUUUACAACUUAGCAAUCUAGCCCUUUUUAAGGUGUUUUCAUGCAAUUUUUUUCACAAAAGUUGUUUAUUAGACAACUAGGACUCAUAAUCUUCCAUAAAAACAUAACAAACAACACAUUUACUCUCAUGGCAAAACCCUAGACUCUUCAUCAUUUUGCAAAAUAGAUCCCUCAUAUGAAAGCUCAUGCUUUAGUGGUUCCAAAAAUGUAAAAAUCAUCAAGCAAAGACAUUAAAAUCACUUACAAGCAAGGGAAAUAUGUUGCUGAAAUUUUCCAGCUUCAAAGCCCUUUCUUUGCUGCGUAUUUCGGUGAAGGAGAAGAGAAAAAUGAUAGCUUUUUCUUUUU